Molecule: long non-coding RNA, 328 nt
Organism: Colossoma macropomum (tambaqui)
Lineage: Eukaryota; Metazoa; Chordata; Actinopteri; Characiformes; Serrasalmidae
Exons: 5
Source: RefSeq, a predicted model, not a curated record
CAGCAUUCAGGAUAUGAGAAUGUGGAUGAGGAGCUUCUCUCAGGAAGUAUCAUCUCUGAAGCACAGAAUUCAGGAUAUGAGGAUGUGGAUGAGGAGCUCCAUUUGGGUGAAUCAGCAAAAGAGGACACAGCAGAGAGCUAUGAUGAUGUCAUCUCUGCUGGACAGAUCUCUGAUAGUGUAGCAGAGGGCUUAGCAGAGAUUUAUGAUGAUGCCACCACUGCUGAUCAGAGCUCAGCUGUUGAAACAGAAUACUUGGCAGAUGUCUAUGAUGAUGCUGUUACCACUGGACCAAACUCCAGCAUUAUGAAAAGUAAGUCUUCUUAUUGUG